Molecule: long non-coding RNA, 1102 nt
Filed under: Vigna radiata
Lineage: Eukaryota; Viridiplantae; Streptophyta; Magnoliopsida; Fabales; Fabaceae
Description: long non-coding RNA (VRAD_LNC012606)
Source: RNAcentral
CAAAGGUAAACAAAUGAGACAUACCUUGAACCGAUGCCCCUCUACAACGAUCGAACAACGGACACACAAAGAAGACAUCCUCACUAACCCCGAUGCUGGUGUAGACACCACCAGAUCAAGGUUCAACUUUUCUACUGCUAAGCCCAACUUUUAUACACAAGCCUCCGAUAUGAAGGAGUGUGUUGCCCCCGAGUCAAACAACACCACACAAAGCACACCAAACAGUAAACAACAGCUGACGAUGAGGUUACCUGAGCUGACUGCCUCUGAUCCUCUCAAGGCAUAUACUAUGCCUGUCGCCUGAGGUUUAUCACCUCCCCUAGGCUGAGAUGAACUAGUCCUCUGGCCUAGGACCCUGACCCCACAACAGAAGUACACUUAGAAGCAAAGUGCCCCUCUUUCCCGCACUUGAAGCACUUCCUUGCACCAUUCCCAUGAGGGCAGUUGUUCCUGUAAUGAGGCCAUCCGAAUGAGAAGAAUCUAACUGUUCCAGAUGACUACACUGAUGGCUGGGAGGAUGAACCCCUAGACUCAAAAGAAAGUGAUGGUCUAGAGUAAGGGGCUAUCCUAGCACUAACUUCACCAUGAGACCUAGAUGGUCCCCCACUCCUAGUAGGCUGACUCUGCUGUCCUUCAACUUCCUUCUUCGUCUUCUUCAUCACACAAACCAUCUCUACCAAAGUAGGGAACUCAUGAAUACGGAGUCCCUUUACCAGUAGAUUGAUGUCUCCCCUCAGACCAUUCUCAAGUUUCCUACACUGCCACUCCUCAUUAGUGGCCAUGGUGUAGAAUCAGAGUAAGUGUUUGAACUUGUCUGCAUACUCUGCCACUGCCAUGUUUCCCUGAACCAGCUGGAGAAACUCUAUCUCCUUAUCAUGUCUCACACUAAUAGGAAAACACUCAGAAUAAAACUCAGUCUUGAACAGUUCCAGAGUAAUGGGAGUCCUACUCCUCUCUAGUAUCAUCUGCAUGUUGCUUCACCAAUGGCUAGUUUCCCCUAUCAACAGAUACUAAGUGUAGGCUAGCUUGUUCUCAUCGGGACACCCCUUGGCUUCAUAUAUUCGUUCCAUGUCCCAGAACCAAUGAUCGACUUCAUCUGGGC